This 253-nucleotide ribosomal RNA is filed under the name uncultured bacterium. Its description in RNAcentral is "partial 16S ribosomal RNA". It matches the Rfam family "Bacterial small subunit ribosomal RNA", at positions 524 to 776 of the family's 1533-position model. The record is from RNAcentral.
UACAGAGGUCUCAAGCGUUGUUCGGAUCCAUUGGGCGUAAAGGGUGCGUAGGCGGCGCGGUAAGUCGGGUGUGAAAUCUCGGAGCUUAACUCCGAAACUGCAUUCGAUACUGCCGUGCUUGAGGACUGGAGAGGAGACUGGAAUUUACGGUGUAGCGGUGAAAUGCGUAGAUAUCGGAAGGAAGACCAGUGGCGAAGGCGGGUCUCUGGACAGUUCCUGACGCUGAGGCACGAAGGUCAGGGGAGCAAACGGG